Molecule: transfer-messenger RNA, 302 nt
Filed under: Alphaproteobacteria bacterium 33-17
Lineage: Bacteria; Pseudomonadati; Pseudomonadota; Alphaproteobacteria
Also listed under: 1 other name
Rfam family: Alphaproteobacteria transfer-messenger RNA
About the family: Bacterial tmRNA, also known as 10Sa RNA or SsrA, is named for its dual tRNA and mRNA-like properties. Its role is to liberate the mRNA from a stalled ribosome.
Source: RNAcentral
UAUAUUGUAUUUUUAGUUAAAAAUAUAUAUAAUGUAACUGCCGCAAGGCUAUGGCAAUAAACGCUAUUCGGAAUAGACGUUAUGGACCCGGGGGCGGUACCCGGCAUCUCCACCAAAUAAUUUUAUGGGGAUGAAUUAGCUUCGACAUGCGUAAUAAAGGUGUGGUUUUUGCUCGGUGUGAUUAGCCGUGAUAAAUCAAAAAAGUAAGUGCAAACGAUAAUAAUGCACCUGUAGCUAACUCAGCACUCGCUGCUUAGUUUUCUACGCGGUUAGGGGGCCCCGGGCAACAGAAUGCCCCCAAA